Molecule: ribosomal RNA, 482 nt
Filed under: uncultured bacterium
Lineage: Bacteria
Description: bacterial SSU rRNA
Rfam family: Bacterial small subunit ribosomal RNA
Source: RNAcentral
AUUGAACGCUGGCGGCAUGCCUUACACAUGCAAGUCGAACGGUAACAGGUCUUCGGAUGCUGACGAGUGGCGAACGGGUGAGUAAUAUAUCGGAACGUGCCCAGUCGUGGGGGAUAACGCAGCGAAAGCUGUGCUAAUACCGCAUACGAUCUAUGGAUGAAAGCGGGGGAUCGCAAGACCUCGCGCGAUUGGAGCGGCCGAUAUCAGAUUAGGUAGUUGGUGGGGUAAAGGCCCACCAAGCCAACGAUCUGUAGCUGGUCUGAGAGGACGACCAGCCACACUGGAACUGAGACACGGUCCAGACUCCUACGGGAGGCAGCAGUGGGGAAUUUUGGACAAUGGGCGCAAGCCUGAUCCAGCAAUGCCGCGUGCAGGAUGAAGGCCUUCGGGUUGUAAACUGCUUUUGUACGGAACGAAAAGGCUCUGGUUAAUACCUGGGGCUCAUGACGGUACCGUAAGAAUAAGUACCGGCUAACUACGUG